RNAcentral lists this ribosomal RNA (492 nucleotides) under uncultured bacterium. RNAcentral's name for it is "partial 16S ribosomal RNA". It matches the Rfam family "Bacterial small subunit ribosomal RNA", at positions 29 to 507 of the family's 1533-position model. The record is from RNAcentral.
AGUGAACGCUGGCGGUAGGCCUAACACAUGCAAGUCGAACGGCAGCACAGUAAGAGCUUGCUCUUACGGGUGGCGAGUGGCGGACGGGUGAGGAAUACAUCGGAAUCUACUUUUUCGUGGGGGAUAACGUAGGGAAACUUACGCUAAUACCGCAUACGACCUACGGGUGAAAGCAGGGGAUCUUCGGACCUUGCGCGAUUGAACGAGCCGAUGUCGGAUUAGCUAGUUGGCGGGGUAAAGGCCCACCAAGGCGACGAUCCGUAGCUGGUCUGAGAGGAUGAUCCGCCACAAUGGAACUGAGACACGGUCCCGACUCCUAAGGGAGGCAGCAGUGGGGAAUAUUGGACAAUGGGCGCAAGCCUGAUCCAGCCAUACCGCGUGGGUGAAGAAGGCCUUCGGGUUGUAAAGCCCUUUUGUUGGGAAAGAAAAGCAGCAGGUUAAUACCCCGCUGUUCUGACGGUACCCAAAGAAUAAGCACCGGCUAACUUCGUG